AUAUAUGUGUGUGUGUGUGUAUGUAUAUAUACCAUUGUAAGCACAUAAAUUGGAAACAAGGUGGAAAAAAUAGUACUCGAAUACCGGAGGUAGAGUAAUAU
Molecule: long non-coding RNA, 101 nt
Organism: Octopus sinensis (East Asian common octopus)
Lineage: Eukaryota; Metazoa; Mollusca; Cephalopoda; Octopoda; Octopodidae
Exons: 3
Source: RefSeq, a predicted model, not a curated record